GUCACCAGGGUGUCACCGGGGCUCAGGAAGUGUCCCCAGGGUGUCCCCAGGGUGUCACCGGGGCUCAGGAAGUGUCCCCAGGGUGUCCCCGCGCUGUCCCCGGGGUGUCCCAGGGCUCAGGGAGGUGUCCCCAGGGUGUCCCCAGGGUGUCACGGAGCUCACGGAGGUGUCCCCGUGCUGUCCCGGGGCUCGGGGAGGUGUCCCCAGGCUGUCCCCAGGGUGUCCCGGGGCUCAGGGAAGUGUCCCCAGGGUGUCCCCAGGGUGUCCCCGCGCUGUCCCCGCGCCGUCCCCGCGGUGUCACAGUGCUCAGGGAAGUGUCCCCAGGGUGUCCCGGGGCUCGGGGAGGUGUCCCCAGGGUGUCCCCAGGGUGUCCCCAGGGUGUCCCCAGGGUGUCACCAGUGUCACCAGGGUGUCCCCAGGUGUCCCCAGGGUGUCCCUAGGGUGUCCCCGGUGUCACCAUGGUGUCCCCAGGAUGUCCCCACGAGUGGGAUUGGGAAUGGGAUGAGCUCCUUGUCCCUGUGGUGUCCCCAUGGUGUCCCUGUGGUGUCCCCCAAUG
Molecule: long non-coding RNA, 556 nt
Filed under: Cyanistes caeruleus (blue tit)
Lineage: Eukaryota; Metazoa; Chordata; Aves; Passeriformes; Paridae
Description: lncRNA (ENSCCEG00000005294.1)
Source: RNAcentral